AAAGGGAACACCAUCGUUUGGAAAGCAUUGCAGUAAGACACACAUGUUGUGCUGCUGCUGUGCCCCUAAGGCCUAUGCCCUUCAGUAGUCAACCUGUGGCACAUGUGCCACCUUGCCAAGCACAAGAGGAAGUAACACUGGAGUACCAAUGCUGAAAGAUGAAAUACCACCAGGACUAGUCAAAUGAGGCACCUAAAAAGUGUAUACCACAGAUUCAGGCAGGGAUUCCGUGAAGGAACAACACCUAGACCUAAGACGGCAGCUGUUGCAGCAUCCAGUUCAUCUU
This 286-nucleotide long non-coding RNA is filed under the name Homo sapiens (human). RNAcentral's name for it is "non-protein coding lnc-DIO1-1:1". Lineage: Eukaryota; Metazoa; Chordata; Mammalia; Primates; Hominidae. The record is from RNAcentral.